Planktothrix serta PCC 8927 is the source of this 37-nucleotide non-coding RNA. The record is from Rfam. NCBI's taxonomy places the organism in Bacteria, Bacillati, Cyanobacteriota, Cyanophyceae, Oscillatoriales, Microcoleaceae.
GUUGCAAUAACCAAUAAUCCCUAUCAGGGAUUGAAAC